AAAAAAAAUGUAUAAAAAGCCCUGCAUGCCAUCUACCAAGGCAGCUCUUAAACGAUGUAGUCAAUGAUGUAAUGAUUGAUUUAAAUAAAAAUUUUGAUUAAUUUUGCCAAAUUGGUAAAAUUAAUUGAAUUCUAUAAUAUCAAAAGGUUCAAAUUUUCAAUGAGAAACGUUUCAUUUGGAACACAGAAAAAAUGUGGGAAGUUCACGAAUGAAAGUAUAGAUUAUUUUUAAUAUUUAAUAUAAAUGACAUGAACGAGUGAUAAAAGGAAAAAAUGGUGAUGAUAUAUAUAAGAAAGAAACGUGCAGUGCAAAAGACCUUCAAAACUGACCUUGCCAUUGAAAACGUGUGGU
This 351-nucleotide unclassified non-coding RNA is filed under the name Hevea brasiliensis (rubber tree). Lineage: Eukaryota; Viridiplantae; Streptophyta; Magnoliopsida; Malpighiales; Euphorbiaceae. The record is from RNAcentral.